AGUGAACGCUGGCGGUAGGCCUAACACAUGCAAGUCGAACGGCAGCACAGUAAGAGCUUGCUCUUACGGGUGGCGAGUGGCGGACGGGUGAGGAAUACAUCGGAAUCUACUUUUUCGUGGGGGAUAACGUAGGGAAACUUACGCUAAUACCGCAUACGACCUACGGGUGAAAGCAGGGGAUCUUCGGACCUUGCGCGAUCGAAUGAGCCGAUGUCGGAUUAGCUAGUUGGCGGGGUAAAGGCCCACCAAGGCGACGAUCCGUAGCUGGUCUGAGAGGAUGGUCAGCCACACUGGAACUGAGACACGGUCCAGACUCCUACGGGAGGCAGCAGUGGGGAAUAUUGGACAAUGGGCGCAAGCCUGGUCCAGCCAUACCGCGUGGGUGAAGAAGGCCUUCGGGUUGUAAAGCCCUUUUGUUGGGAAAGAAAAGCAGCAGGUUAAUACCCCGCUGUUCUGACGGUACCCAAAGAAUAAGCACCGGCUAACUUCGUG
RNAcentral lists this ribosomal RNA (492 nucleotides) under uncultured bacterium. Its description in RNAcentral is "partial 16S ribosomal RNA". It matches the Rfam family "Bacterial small subunit ribosomal RNA", at positions 29 to 507 of the family's 1533-position model. The record is from RNAcentral.